UAAUUUAUUAUUGAAAAAAGCAGAUAUGAAUAAACUGGGAACAUAACGGUGCUUGGUAGAACACAGAGCUAAAAGCUAAGUCGGUUACAAGAGUAUCACUAUUAAUAUUAUGAGCACAGUGAGCAACCGUCUGUCAAAAGUUGAUAACCGGCAAAGAAUCAGUUUCAGCCCCUGCUUGAUUUAAGCAACAAUAAGGUUGACAAAUAAUCAGUUUCAGCACUGCUUGAACUUAAGCAACAAUAAGGUUGGAUUAAUUCAUUUGGUAUUUAUCAUGUGAUUAAGUCUCUGAUAGUUAAUUUUUUCUUUUUGAAAUUGCCUUGUGCCUUAUUUCUCUCUUUAUGAAUUUUUGCGAAUUCAUCUAUAUGUUGAUGAGUUUUUCAUUGCUCCGUUUUUGGGGAAUCACAAUGACUGAUAACAAUUGCCAAUUUCUGAUCUUCAAAUGCAGAUAAUUUGUCUUUUUUUUAAUUUCUAGAACAUUUUGUUGAAGUAGAGAAUUUUGCGUGUUAAUGGCUCUGGUUUUCUGCUUUUUGUCGAAGUAUUGGUAUUCUUCUUAAUGUGAGUGUAGAUUUUAUCAUGCAUGAGAAUCGUUGCUAUAUAUAUUCUUUGCAAUCUCUAAUUUUUCAAUUCUGUAGAUGUGUUGCAAUUGAAAUUCAUUUAUUAUAUUGUUUUAGCUUUUGAUUUUGGUUUCUGCAGUUCUGCAUGUGAAAGUUAAUCAAACACUGCAUUUUAUUCUGCAUUUUAUGAUUAUAUGAUGUAAAAAAAAAUUAUACUGAGUGUAUUUUAAUGAAUUGAAUUCUAUUGGAACAAUGCCUAAAUUUUCAAUAUAUAGCGUAGAAUAUAAUGCGUUUCCAAAAAUGUUGUAUAUAUAACACACGGAGGUGAUAUAAGCCGCUUGUUUGAAUGAGUGAGGUCUAAUGUCCCUAAUACUGAGUUUAUAUAUUGUUUGGACAAAAAGCGGUGUCUAAGUUCUAUGUUUAGUGACCUCGCAGUCUUGCUCCCAAGCCUAACACAACUCGUAGUCUUGCACUCGGCGCAGCAGCCAAUACUCAAGCUUGCUCAUCCUUGGCCUGAGUGGUUCCAACUCAUGAAGUGCUUGCUCGACAAGGGACACUUCUGUCGUGAAGAGGGAAAAAUGUUAUGCAAUGCUGGUAUGGGCAUGAAGGAUUUCAAUGUCAUUAGAACGAAGUGUGCCUCAAUUUCGGCAGAGACCACUUUCAUCUUUUAAGGAGAUUUUUUAGAUAAAGGAGGGUAUUUCAACAAAUAAUGCAUGCUGGGAAAUUGGAGAAUCACCGGUUAAGUUAGUGGGCUGAACAUUAGUUAAUGACCUUUUCGGAAACUUAUUCUGUUCAUAUUGUUUUUAUUGGUCUAAAAUUUCCCACGUAGCCUUCAGUGUGUAAGAUUGAAAUAACUCAUUCUCCAGAGAAUCUCACUUUCAUGCUAGAGAUGUCAUUUUUGGUUCUCCGAGUUGUGUAAUGGGAGGAGAAGGUAAAGGAAUUGGAUUGGCUAAGUGGAAAUUUUAUUUUAUAUAUAUACAUGAGACUUGCCAUUAUAUUAUUCAAAUGUGAAUAACAAGGAAGAUCUAUUUGAUUAGAAAAUGGGAAAUUUUGGGUCU
This is a long non-coding RNA of Glycine soja, 1612 nucleotides long. RefSeq lists it as uncharacterized. The transcript has 3 exons. NCBI's taxonomy places the organism in Eukaryota, Viridiplantae, Streptophyta, Magnoliopsida, Fabales, Fabaceae. The record is from RefSeq and is a predicted model, not a curated record.